This 100-nucleotide small nuclear RNA is filed under the name Choloepus hoffmanni (Hoffmann's two-fingered sloth). The record is from RNAcentral. Lineage: Eukaryota; Metazoa; Chordata; Mammalia; Pilosa; Megalonychidae.
GUUCUUGCUUAGCAGCACAUCUACUAAAAUUGGAACAAUACAAAGAUAAGUAUAGGUGUGCAAAAGAGGGCAUGCAAAUUGUGAAGAAUCCCCUAUUUUU